ACCAAGAGACAUGCACUGGGGGAAUGAGCCGGAGGAGCGCUCCCUGCCCUUGGGCUGCACAGGAUUUUGUGGAGAGCAAAUGAGAUGUAGGAAGAGGGGCAGAAUGGGCACUGUACUAAUGCUAGCCAAGGGGUGCAAGCUUAGCCAAGCACAGCAAUUAGUUUGCCACUUGUCAGACAGGUAGAUUUUACCCUGCACAGGCAGGGGCCCCUGGGUUUCUACUAACUGGAGUAUGUGCCAGGUCUCUAGAGAUAUAUGUUAGAAUGGCAAGGUGAGAUCUAAGAUGGCGUCCAUCUGUCGGUAUGAGGGUCUGCGUUACAGAGGGACGGAAAACUCUGCACGGAACAUUAUUCAGGUCGGUGCAUCUGGGAUCUGGAAGAAGAAGACCUGCACUAUCCUGGGCCUUACAGGCUGCUAUGGCUGGUCAAACGGAACCAAGUCCGUCUUCCUUAGAGGUUUGGUCCCCUUCAACCAGCUAUUGCAGUACUGAGCCUCAACAGCGCCCCCCCAGGCCGGAUUCUGCUGCUGAUCAAGCAAAGGACGUUUAAUCUAGGAGGUGCCUCCAUGUUGUACCCCCACCGGAGGGGCAUGUAUUUAUUUUUCUGUGCUGUUUCUACCCAUCUGUCAGUCUAGCAACCAGGGCCACUGAAAGUCAUUUAGCUCAUAAUGUUUUUUAAAUCUUCCUAAGGGGGUGUCACCCUUGUGGUCCUUAUUCUGCUUGAACUACAGUUCCCAGAAUUCCUCAGCUGCUGGCUAAAAGCUUUGGUGAUAUGCUGGAAUAUACGAGACACCCCCUCUCCCAUUUUAUGCUCCUGUUUUUUUCAGAACCCUCCUCCCCUCCUGGUAUUUAAACCAGUAACAGGCAGUUACCAUUAAAGUCUAUGGAGGGGCAAAUUGUUCUACUGGCCUUCAUGUUGGGGGUGGGUGGGACGUGAUAUCAUUUAUUGGUGGAGCUAUGGUGUAAGGGGCAGUAAAAUGGGCAGGGAAAGGUGAAUGGGGCCAGUAAAUGGGUAGACUGGGCGGGGUUGUAGGAGGAGCAGGGGCGGGCCCAUAGUUAUAUAGGGUGGCCCACAGCACUGAGGGUUAAAAAGGAGGGAUUUAUAGGCCAAUAAAAAGUACAUUGCCGGUAAAUUUGUAAUACCGGUGCUGCUCCUACCAGUUGAUUUACUGUCUAGGCCGGUCAAAUACCAACCAGGUGGCAACCCUAGCGCCCAACGAGCUGGAAAAUACUAGGAAGCGCCCCAUGUACCAAUGUCCUAAUAACUAAUUAUCAUGCAAAUGCCCCUUGUAAUCAAAAGAAACAGAAUUUGUGUUUUACACAAUUGUUACUUUUUGCUUCUGAACUACAGUUUCCAGCAUGUUGAGGCUGGGGAUGCUGGGAGUUGUAGUUCACAACAGUAGGUCAAUAAACAAGAAACCAGUCAUGUUAGUUAAAGAGAAAGGGCCAUGUAUUAUUAUUCCAACUGAACUGAUCUUGUGCAAAUAACUGUAUUUGCUUGAUAUUACCCACAAUUCCUAGGUACAAGUGGGAAAACUGUAAAUUUGCUUUGAUUUUGGGUGCUAAUGCUGGGUUUAUUCAAGUGGGGGAUGUAUGGCUAUAUGUUCAAAAUGAGUGCUCAUUCAUAAAAUAAACCAAUUAAAAUGCUUC
This is a long non-coding RNA of Xenopus tropicalis (tropical clawed frog), 1648 nucleotides long. RefSeq lists it as uncharacterized. NCBI's taxonomy places the organism in Eukaryota, Metazoa, Chordata, Amphibia, Anura, Pipidae. The record is from RefSeq and is a predicted model, not a curated record. The transcript has 2 exons.